RNAcentral lists this ribosomal RNA (467 nucleotides) under uncultured bacterium. RNAcentral describes it as "partial 16S ribosomal RNA". It matches the Rfam family "Bacterial small subunit ribosomal RNA", at positions 29 to 507 of the family's 1533-position model. The record is from RNAcentral.
AUGAACGCUGGCGGCGUGCUUAACACAUGCAAGUCGAACGGAAAGGCCCAAGCUUGCUUGGGUACUCGAGUGGCGAACGGGUGAGUAACACGUGGGUGAUCUGCCCUGCACUUCGGGAUAAGCCUGGGAAACUGGGUCUAAUACCGGAUAGGACCACUUCUUGGAUGUUGUGGUGGAAAGUUUUUUCGGUGUGGGAUGAGCUCGCGGCCUAUCAGCUUGUUGGUGGGGUAAUGGCCUACCAAGGCGUCGACGGGUAGCCGGCCUGAGAGGGUGUACGGCCACAUUGGGACUGAGAUACGGCCCAGACUCCUACGGGAGGCAGCAAUGGGGAAUAUUGCACAAUGGGCGCAAGCCUGAUGCAGCGACGCCGCGUGGGGGAUGACGGCCUUCGGGUUGUAAACUCCUUUCGCUAGGGACGAAGCGUUUUUGUGACGGUACCUGGAGAAGAAGCACCGGCUAACUACGUG